Molecule: long non-coding RNA, 2185 nt
Organism: Leptidea sinapis
Lineage: Eukaryota; Metazoa; Arthropoda; Insecta; Lepidoptera; Pieridae
Exons: 2
Source: RefSeq, a predicted model, not a curated record
CCUGAGCGGCACUGCAUUAUCAAUUACCAUCAGCUGAACGUCCUGCUCAUCUCAUCCCUAAUUGUCAUAAAAUAAUAGGCUUUGCUGAUAUUUCAUAUGAUACUGUAAUUAAUCAGGAACAGAAGAGGUAUAAAAAAUUACCAACGGUUAGUAUUAUUUCAUCAAUUAGUAUCCUUGUAAAGAAAAAAAACCGUGUGGUGUCGUGGGACAACAGAUAGGAACGAAAUUCCUUAUUAUAAGAAUAUAAAUUUUAGUGAUUUACUAAACAAAAAAAAUGGGCAGUUUCCACUGAAUUCCACUGUCUAAAACAAAAAAGUGUGUGUAUACUUACGUAUGCACGCAAGAAGUUAUACUUCUUUGGUAGUAACAAAACAAAUCCUUAAAAAUAUUUAUUAGUCGUGCUAUUCUACGUUUGUAGAAAGAACAAUAUUGUUAAAAUCGUGAAAUAAAUUAUUAAAUAUUAACAAAUACGGUUGUAUUGGCUUGAACCCUUUGCCUGUCCUAAUAAUGGACGACGAAACUAAAAAAAAUAAUUAAUGUCACAAACGUCAGAAAAUUUCUCAAAACUUUUAUUUUUAGAUGUCGUUGUGAGCGCGCAACGUAAAGUCAAAGAAAUUUAUCUUCAAUAACAUCAGAAAGACAUUUUCUCCCGGUUAGGGUCCGCAUCGUCCCAUAAGAAACUUCGUUCCAAAAAUUAGAACAUGAAGUCAAUGAAAAAGAUCGGAGGAUAAAAUUUGGGACAUGGCUGGAACAAGAUGGAGAAGAAAGACGUGGGACAGAGUUCUGUGGAUAAGUUUAGGGAAGAGCUUUGCCAAAGGGAAAACUGACGUAAUAUCGGUUGCUACUGCUAAAUUAGGCAGCUAAAAUUUGAGUUAUUAUAGUCAGUAAAAAUACAAGCGUAUACACAAACAAUCACUUAAGGAGAUACAGCAAGAUGAAAGAGAAGUCGUAAAUAGUCAGCCAUGGCUCUCUAAUAUUUUGAAUAUUUAAAUACAAGCUAACACAUACAGUGACAAAUCAAAAUCCAGUCAGGUCUUCUAUACGCUACGUGGUUAGUAGUAAUAACGGUUUAUUUAAUUUAUACCUAGACUAGCUGCCGCGACAGACGUUGUUCUGCAGAUGAUAAAAAAAUACUGUUUUAUAGAAAUUUGCCAAUAAUAUUUCAAAACAUCAAGAAUUAUUUCGUAAAAAAUGCUCCCUGUUGUAAUAAUGAAAUUGUUUUACAGCGGAACUGUCAAACCGUGCGUCACUAAAUUCUCUCAUAGAAAAUAUGUCCAUACAAAACAAAUAUUGAAAAUAAAAACUCUUUAUGGGUCCCGAAUCGAAAUUAAAACUAUUCUAUCUCUCAAGUUGGACCAAACAGCACACCAUGAAGUAAUCCCCAUUCAAAUCCGUUCAUUAGUUUAGGAGUCCAUCGCGUACAAACAACGUGUCACGUAAUUUAUAUAUAUUAAGAUUUUGGCAAGCUAAUUUCUGUGAUUAUUUAUUAUUACAAACCUAUUUAAAUCUUCUAUUCCAAUCGGUUGAUUACGUAUCUUAAUCCAAGGCAAACUACUACUCGUAAGUAUAAAUUGAUGCAAAAUUACUAUCAAUAUAAAUGGCUGGUCUAGAAAUUCGCCCUCCAUUGCUUAUCUUGAUACUUCAGCUUGUCGGCGUAUGUUGACUUGGAAACCUUAACCAAUUAGAAAUGCUGUAAAAUAUUCAUGUUGAUUGGAGAGCAAUUUGCAACUUGUUUAGAUUCUCUUCGUCACAAGCUUAAGGUGGUGGUCCACUGGAAUGUAAAAAAAUCAGUUUUUAAAAACAUUGACAAAUGCCAACUUACAACAUAUACUUGAACUAUUACAAUUGAAAAUAUCCUGCUUUUUUAAAAAUUUCAGGAAGAACGAUUUUUAAAUAUUACUAUUUAUAACAGAACACUGCAAUUUUAAUUUAGAUUAUAUAUCUCCAAUUUAUGGCUUGAUUUGGAGAUCGAACGUAAAUACGAGGCAAAGCGAAACGUCAAGCUAAAGAGAGUUCAGGAUGGAUUCUCUACCAAGGGGAUACAGACCAUUACUCAUUUGAAAUUUGUAAGAGAAAAUAGGAAAAAGCAAGAAAAAUGUACUCGUUUUAUCAUAUUCCUUUUUAUAUCGGCAAAGAAGCAACGAUAAUUAUUUUUUAUUUGUAAAUAUUAAGACUUUUGAUGAGA